AUAGUACUCCCCCGUCUUAAAAUUAUUGUCUUUGAUUUGUCUAGAUAUAAAUGUAUCUAGUUAUGUAUUAAUAUUUAGAUACAUCGAUUUUUAGAUAAAAAAAGACAAUAACUUUAGGACGGAGGGAGUAGACA
Molecule: non-coding RNA, 134 nt
Organism: Hordeum vulgare subsp. vulgare (domesticated barley)
Lineage: Eukaryota; Viridiplantae; Streptophyta; Magnoliopsida; Poales; Poaceae
Source: Rfam